Long non-coding RNA from Juglans microcarpa x Juglans regia, 236 nucleotides. RefSeq lists it as uncharacterized. The transcript is spliced from 3 exons. The record is from RefSeq and is a predicted model, not a curated record. NCBI's taxonomy places the organism in Eukaryota, Viridiplantae, Streptophyta, Magnoliopsida, Fagales, Juglandaceae.
GCCAAGACUCCUAAAAGGAAAGAAUCACCUUAUGGAGUCUUGAGAUGGACGACUAGGGCUUAUGUGGAUGAUGGAGCUAUUUAUGGUAAGUGGCAAAGAUGGUCAGAUGGGAACACUAGGGUUGGCGCCACUUGAGUUUAGGGUUUAGUGUUGGGAAGAGGAUGAUAGACGGCUAGGGUUUAGGAUUAGGGUUUUGGACUUAGGGCAAGAGUGUUGGAUACGAAAAAUGGAAUUGG